RNAcentral lists this ribosomal RNA (251 nucleotides) under uncultured soil bacterium. Its description in RNAcentral is "partial 16S ribosomal RNA". It matches the Rfam family "Bacterial small subunit ribosomal RNA", at positions 26 to 288 of the family's 1533-position model. The record is from RNAcentral.
AGGACGAACGCUGGCGGCGUGCUUAACACAUGCAAGUCACGGGGGCCCGCAAGGGCAACCGGCGAACGGGUGCGUAACACGUGAGCAACCUGCCUUUGUGUGGGGGAUAGCCGGGCUAACGCCCGGGUAAUACCGCAUACGGUUCUCGAGGGGAGUCCCUUGGGAAAGAAACCUCCGGGGCACAGAGAGGGGCUCGCGGCCUAUCAGCUAGUUGGCGGGGUAAUGGCCCACCAAGGCGACGACGGGUAGCU